Orcinus orca (killer whale) is the source of this 597-nucleotide long non-coding RNA. RefSeq lists it as uncharacterized. The transcript is spliced from 2 exons. The record is from RefSeq and is a predicted model, not a curated record. Lineage: Eukaryota; Metazoa; Chordata; Mammalia; Artiodactyla; Delphinidae.
UAUCAUGGAGCUCCCAUUUUUGCCUCAACCGUAAAUUUUCCUUUAGCCUAGUUAUAUAUCCCAUGCAUUCUGGAGCUGGAUAUUCCGCACAGCUUAGAGAAACAAAAAUAAAAUAGAAGCAAGUGCUUGAUAAACAUCCACAGUGAAGGAGGAACCUGUUCCUAUCGACUCCUAAUUUCACCUGGUCUUUUUUAAUACUUUGAACCCAUUUCUUUUUUCUUUCUUUUUUUUUUUUUUUGUGGUAUGCGGGCCUCUCACUGUUGUGGCCUCUCCCGUUGUGGAGCACAGGCUCCGGACGCGCAGGCUCAGCGGCCAUGGCUCACGGGCCCAGCCGCUCCGCGGCAUGUGGGAUCUUCCCGGACCGGGGCACAAACCCAUGUCCCCUGCAUCGGCAGGCGGACUCUCAACCACUGCACCACCGGGGAAGCCCCAGGUUAAACAUUUUUUUCAAGACUACUACAGGUAUAACUUGGAGAUAUUGCAGGUUCAGUUCCAGACCACCGCAAUAAAGGGAAUAUCACAAUAAAGCAACAUACAAAUGUUCUGGUUUCACAGUGCACAUAAAAGUUACAUUUACACUAUACUGUAGUCUAUAAG